This 1673-nucleotide long non-coding RNA is filed under the name Triticum aestivum (bread wheat). Its description in RNAcentral is "long non-coding RNA (TAES_LNC027389)". The stretch from base 849 to 983 matches the Rfam family "MIR1120/MIR1122 microRNA precursor family". The record is from RNAcentral. Lineage: Eukaryota; Viridiplantae; Streptophyta; Magnoliopsida; Poales; Poaceae.
AUCGAUGGAGUCUUGGGGCAAAGUUUAGGUGAUUAUUUGGCAAUGCAAAAUUAGUACGCUCGUCUAACUUGGCUACCAUUGGUGCAUUACUUUCUUUGACAACAUAUUUGGACUUUGCAUGAAUACAGAAGUGAUGGUUGGAGUAAUAGUUGUGGAGAAAUAGAGUUGCAUUUUAGGAUAAUGGGUAAAAUUGGAGCUAUGAUUAGUUGUGGGUUUAAGAAUUGAGAUCUAGAAAAUGCAUUGUUCAUUUACUUCAUUUAAACUGGCAUGUCACUUGUCACAUCCAUGGAAAUAAUUUGCUGAAGAGACAACAAAGUUUAGUUUCAGGUCGUGUCUUCUUUUGUUUCACGGUUGUUUAAACUUUGUGGCGUCGCUGUUCCUGUCGGCCUUCAUUAGGUUGAUGUACUAUUCUCUUCUUAAUAAUAUAUUUAUACACGUAGCAUGUUCAUGGAAAAAAUGAAAUGAGUUUUUGCUACAUUUGAGCAUUGCAUUUUAAAGUAAAGUUUCAGCCAUUAUUUUCUACCAGAAAUUUAGUGAUCUAUAUGCAAACAAUCUCUCUAUUUUUAGUAAUCUUGUGGGACGUCAGAGAACAGAUGACAUGAUCACAUCCCCAGUAAAUGUGUCAAUCAUACUAAACCAUUGACAAUUUCUAAUUUUGGAUAUUGAAAGAAUGAUAUUUUCUCGAGUAAAAUGAGAAUGCUGAUUAAUCCAUUUUCUAUUUCUGAGCUAUCUUGAUAAUUCUUAGCUAUUUUGAUGUUUCGCUUGAUAGCAAUUAUUACUGUCUAAGAAGACUUAAGUGUGGGAGACUGUGGUUUCAAAUCAGAGAAUUGUGUUUCGAGAUUACUAACAUACUACUCCCUCCGUCCGGAAAUACUUGUCAUCAAAAUUAAUAAAAGAGAAUGUAUCUAGAUGUAUUUUAGUUCUAGAUACAUCGUUUUUUAUCCAUUUUGAUGACAAGUAUUUUUGGACGGAGGGAGUAUUUCAUAUGAUUUUUUUUUCUUCAUUUACAUAUAGGCCAAGAUGUUCUCAAUAUGCCGCAUCUGGAACGUCUAGGAAAAGAUUAACCAUCUGAAGACUCGGUUACCUGGUUUUAUUUUAAAUGAAGUUGUGUGUGUGAGGAGAGCAAUAAAUUCGUGCAUGAACUACCUGUGUUGGUAAGAAUUUAGGUGUUCCUAAAAUUGAUUAGAUGAUUGACCCGAUCUUGUUAGUCAGCUGGUUGUAACUAACAUAGUACACUCUUUUGUUUCCAUCGAAAGAUAAAAUAUGCCAGGAAUGAUGUGUUAUCGAUAAUUUUUGGGUUCACUGAACCACGAGCGAGGUGGGAGGAGAGUCAGGCAUAUUAUUCUGGAGUGGCAUAUUUUUGGGUUCACUGAAGCAGGAGCCCAGUCUGAUCGUAGAUGUUCUUAUCCCCUUAGCAGGAGAGGGUAGGAGAGAGAGAGCAAAUCAUAGCUUCUUAACUAUAUGUGCGUUGCACGUGCAUGUUUACUAGUAUUGGUGUUAAACCUACUGUAUUCCAACUUUUUAUGGAUUAUAAACUAUUUUACUGUGCGUUGCAUGUGCAUGUUUACUAGUAUUGGUGUUAAACCUAAUGUAUUCCAACUUUAUAUGGAUUAUAAACUAUUUUACUAGCCAUAGAUUCAUCAAAAUAAGCAAACAACACAUGCAAAAUAGAA